Xylariaceae sp. FL1272 is the source of this 114-nucleotide non-coding RNA. Lineage: Eukaryota; Fungi; Ascomycota; Sordariomycetes; Xylariales; Xylariaceae. The record is from the annotation of a GenBank genome assembly.
GGUCGGUUAGCUCAGUUGGUAGAGCAUCACAAUUACAUUCAAAUUCCCAGAUCUAGUGUCCAGGAUGUUGAAGGAUUACUGCGAAGGCCAUAGGUUCAAGCCCUAUACUGACCA